GUCGACUAUUUGGUAUGGAAUAAGUCACUGGUGUGCUCUUCCCUAGAGGACAAGUGGUGGCUCCAGAAUGUCUGAAGAUAGGAGUCUGUCAAGUGUCUGCUUUAAGAAACCAGGACAGGAAGAAGGUGGAUGAUGGGAGCCCAGGCCUAUGGCUCCACUGGCAGGUACCCGAACACCAGCUCCCUGCUCUUCACCAUCGGCAUCGUCAUGGCUCCACUGGCAGGUACCCGAACACCAGCUCCCUGCUCUUCACCAUCGGCAUCGUCAUGGCUCCACUGGCAGGUACCCGAACACCAGCUCCCUGCUCUUCACCAUCGGCAUCGUCAUCGUCUCCACCUCCUCUGUGGCAGUCUUUUAAGCCUUUCUACAAAGGAUACCACAUUCUAGAUUCUAGUCCUGUCCCAUGCUCCAAUGUCCAUAUCUGGCUCUCCCAUCAGGCUGAAGUCUUGACCCUUAACACUAUACAUACCUUCACAGAUCUGUCCACACUAGAUUCAGUAAAAUCCACA
Long non-coding RNA from Grammomys surdaster, 509 nucleotides. RefSeq lists it as uncharacterized. Lineage: Eukaryota; Metazoa; Chordata; Mammalia; Rodentia; Muridae. The transcript has 3 exons. The record is from RefSeq and is a predicted model, not a curated record.